GUCCUGCCCCCAGGUCAGACGGGASUACCCGCUGAGUUUAAGCAUAUCAAUAAGCGGAGGAAAAGAAACUAACAAGGAUUCCCCUA
Molecule: ribosomal RNA, 86 nt
Filed under: Duparquetia orchidacea
Lineage: Eukaryota; Viridiplantae; Streptophyta; Magnoliopsida; Fabales; Fabaceae
Description: partial 26S ribosomal RNA
Rfam family: Eukaryotic large subunit ribosomal RNA
Source: RNAcentral